This 233-nucleotide ribosomal RNA is filed under the name uncultured bacterium. RNAcentral describes it as "partial small subunit ribosomal RNA". It matches the Rfam family "Bacterial small subunit ribosomal RNA", at positions 26 to 288 of the family's 1533-position model. The record is from RNAcentral.
AGAGCGAACGCUGGCGGCAGGCCUAAUACAUGCAAGUCGAACGGAUCCUUCGGGAUUAGUGGCGGACGGGUGAGUAACACGUGGGAACGUGCCUUUAGGUUCGGAACAACACAGGGAAACUUGUGCUAAUACCGGAUGUGCCCUUCGGGGAAAGAUUUAUCGCCUUUAGAGCGGCCCGCGUCUGAUUAGCUUGUUGGUGAGGUAAAGGCUCACCAAGGUUACGAUCAGUAGCU